Molecule: small nuclear RNA, 111 nt
Organism: Phacochoerus africanus (Common warthog)
Lineage: Eukaryota; Metazoa; Chordata; Mammalia; Artiodactyla; Suidae
Source: RefSeq, a predicted model, not a curated record
GCUUUCCUCCUUUGCCCAGCAGCACAUAUACCAAAAUAAAUGAUACAGAGAAGAUUAGCAUGGCCUCUGUGCAGGGAUGACAUGCAGAUUCAUGAAAUGUUCCAUCUUUUU